Molecule: non-coding RNA, 7435 nt
Organism: Sus scrofa (pig)
Lineage: Eukaryota; Metazoa; Chordata; Mammalia; Artiodactyla; Suidae
Source: RefSeq, a predicted model, not a curated record
GCCUCGCGCUUCCGGCGGCCGGGAUGGCCAGGGUGCCUGUGGGCCGCGUGUCCUGAGCGCAGGUCCUUCGGUCCUGGGAGGGAGCCGUGGGCGGAUUUCAGCCCUCCGGGCCGGUCAGUCUUGCUCCGAGACCCUGGAGAUGCGAUAAGCGGCAGGAGCUGGUGUCGCGCCGCGAGUUUGGGAAGAAUCCCCGGCGGCUGGGAGGCCGGACGGCCGCCCUGCCUUAAACCCAGGGCCGAUUUCUUCGGGCCUCAGCGGCCCGCCUCGCACUUUCCGGCCGCCCCGGCAGCCCCUCCUCCGGUCCACUGUUUGGCCAUCUAUCUGGCUCCUCGCCAAGCAGGGUGGCCUUGAGGCCUUAUGUUCAGAAGUCGCACCGACCUGGAGGCCCGGGUGCGCGGAAGGGGCACUGCAACGACCAGUUUACAAAGAGCCCCAGGACCAGAGGACCGGACUGCUCUUACUGUAGUUCUUGUGAAAAAGAAAAGGAGCCAAUGUUUCCAUUAAUGCUUCAAGAAUGUUCAGAACUCGACGGCGCCAAAGGAUUGCAGAGCAGAGCGGCUGAAGAGCCGUGAACAAUUCCAAAGGCUGUGGCCUCCAUUCCCAGUGAAGCCCGAAUUACAACUUGCCAACCUACUAAGCCUUCCUCCUCCUCUUUCACGUGGAUCCGCGUUUCUUGUUCUUCAUUGCUUCGUCUUCCCUUAGAGCGAAGGAAUCUGUCAUUUAACGGGGGAUACACCGAGGAGCCAAGAGUUUAUCUUUUCAGCCUGUGUCACAGUUGGAGGGAAAGUUGCUAAGUGACUUCUUAAGAAGAGAGAGAGUAGGGCAUUUUCUGUUUUCCCUUCACAAAACAUUUUGUUGUUGUUUGAGGCCUUAGUUGUUUUUUAUUUUUUCCUUCCGGUGGGCCCCCUACCCAGAGAGGUUCAGGUCCCUGGAAGAGAAACUUUACCGAUGUGAUUACGUUAAGAAUCUUAAAGAGAUUAUCCUGGAUGGUCCAGUGGGCCCAGUGUAAUCGGAAAGGUCCUUACCAGUAGGAGGUGGGCGCGUCAGAGUCCAUGUGUCAAUGGAAGCAGCGGCUGGAGUGGAUGCAGUGGGAGAAAGACCCAGCCGAACAAUGAUGGCUUUGAACAUUGGAGGAAGGGGACCCAGGUCCCAGAAUGCAGGUGGCCUCGGAAAGGGAGAAAAAGUCGGGAAACAGAGUCUUCCUUUGAGCCUCCAGGGGGAACACAGUCUUGCCGACACCUUGAAUUGAGCACACUGAGACCAACUGUGGACUUGCGGCCUUCGGAGCAGGAAGGCUCCUGUUGCUCCAGUAUUCCUUCCAUUUUCUCUGCAAAGUGAAUGCCUGAGCACCAGUGAGGAAGCCGAAGCACUUGCAGAUGUCUAAAGGUCCUGAAACUGGGCUCUGGGGGGUCCAGGGUUGCUAUGGGGACCACCUGGCUUCUUCCCUCUUAACAUAGGAGGAAAUUAUUUUGUCCACCUGGUGGUGGAGGGAAAACUCCACAGCAGAGAAACCCAUCCUGCUUCUCAAGGACACUGAGGGAUGUUGAUGGGAAGAGGGAAAAGGCCCCUCCGGGUGCCGGAGGCAGGCGAGGCCAACCUCGGGGGUCCCCGCUGUGCGCCAGUGCUUCUUCAUGGACUGUCCUAAGGAAAUGUCGCUAUGGAGGUGGGGUUAGCAAUGGUCAUGCUUUGGGGCUAGACCUCAGGAACUGGCCUGAGGACAGGUGGGAAGAGAAUGGUACCCAUCACAGUUGGUUUCUCAUUUAAAAACAAACAAACAAAAACUUUGUAUCCCAUCAACAUUCUCAUUUACAGAGCCAGCACUGUCUCUGGAAUUGGAGACAGUUUCAAGUCAUAGGUCUCCACUUAGCGGUGGUGUCACUUUGGCAACUCACUUUGCCUGGAUGCGAUCCCAGUUCAUCUGCAGAACACAGAUAACACCUACCCUGCACAUCGUGGGGAAGAUAAAAAUAAUGUAUGUAAAAUACCUGGAAAAUAAGCAGCCCUCAAAUGAUAGCCAUAUUAUUCAUAAUCAAGGAAACAGGAGGCGAGGAUUUCUCAAGGUUGAGCAGCUGGUGGAUAAAUGGUGGAACCAAGACCCCAUCCUCAAUCCAAGUCUUCUGUUACUUACUCAUCCAAAGCCCCUUCACUCCCCAGAACCUUUUGUGGCCAAGGGCCGGCCCUCCGAGGCAAAGCUUCCCCGCCAGGCUCUCACAGAAAGCAGCCAGGGCUGCUUCUGAGGUCGGCCUCCACCCAGACCCUGCUGGAAGCGGCGCGCUGCACAGCUGCACACAUCUGGAACCCCGCCGGCCUGGAACCCCGAGGGGCGUGCAGCCUGCAGAACCCCCUCUGCGCAGGGAGCCGUCAGGGUGACUGUGUGCAUCUCCUCCGUCCUGCAGAUGCCCCCCCCCGCCCCUCCCCACUCCUGCCUGCGCGCGGAGGGGCCCUGAUCCCGCGGUCACAGUGGACCCCCGGGCGGCGCCAAGCGCAGUCUGGGUGGGGCAGCUCCCGGCGCGCGUCCCUUCGGGGAGCCGGCCCUUCCAGCCCAGGCGGCUGGGGCGGCGGGGUGGGGGGGCAGCGAGGGGCGCAGGGAGCCCCGGGCGCGCACACGGCUGCAAACUUGAGCCAAGAGCCCUCGCUUUCGCCCGCGUGGACGAUCGGAGGUGCCCGCCAGGGAGGCCCCAGGCAGCCGCCGCCCCGGGCGGCCGGGAGGCGUCGGGAGGGGGGCCCGGCGCGGCGGCGCUCGGCCCGCCCUGGCCCGCGGCCCGCAGGGUUCAGACGGGGCCAGGACGGCCGAGAGGCGGCCGGCCUGCGCCAGGGGCUGCGGCCAAGGCUGACGCGGGGCGCUCAGUAAUGCUUGGACCAGCCGGCGCGGCCCCAGGGCUCCGCGGGGCCGCGCGGCAGGGACCCUCCCCGGGCAGCGCAGCCAAGCCGCCUGCGGCGUCCUCCAGCUUGGGCGGCAUCCCCGCGUCCCGCGCGCCGAGGCCGGGAAACGCGGACUUGGUCCCUGGACGCGUCCCUUCAGGGCUGCACAGCCCUGGCGACAAGGGGGAGCCCUGAGGAGACGGUGGGAGGAAGGGAAACUCGGGCCCGUUCUUCGUUCUCCUGUGCGGUCCGCCCGCGCACACGCCGGCUGCGCGCAGCGAGGAGGGGCCGGCGCGUCCAGAAAGUCUGCACUUGCUUUACCUGCAGGACAAGCACAGGGACCCAGAAGCUGGCCUGUGCUUCUCGGCGCCCCCCACCCCCACCCCGGGCAGCUUCCCGGAGCUCUCACUUAUCCAGCCUCAUUGUGAUUCAAAAGACUAAACCGGAGAAGCUUUGCGUUUUACUGGGUACUUUCAGUCCUUCCUCUCCGAGCCACCUUGGGACCAGGCAGGGCUGGCAUCUAUUCAUUUCACAGGUGAGGAAGCCCAUCGGUGAGCGGAGUCUGACGCUUCCGUGCCCUCGGCCUAGCUAGGCUCUAGCAAACGGAGGCUGAAGGCCCUGUUCCCUGUUCUGUCUUGGCAGGCGGCCAAGUUCCUUUAGGGAUGGCCUCUAUUUCUCUGCGAAUUAGGGCUGAGUCACUGCUACCUGGAGAGGUGAUGACAGUAAGUGACAAGGAAGCAGGUUCUCCUUAUGGCAGAAGAAAUUGCUGCGAGUGGCCUUUUUAGAUGCUUCCCUUCCGGUUGGGAGCCGGGCACUCCUGGCCCUAGAGCAGGGAUUCUGUCUUGUCCCCGGACUCUCAGCAGGAACAUUACCCCGGAGCUUGUUUGCACAUUAUCCCAGACCCACCGAACCAGACCCUCUGGAGAUAGAGGCCAGCAAUUUUUGCUUGAAGAGGCCUCGAGACCAUCCUGUCUGAAGAACGACUGAUCUAGAAAAACCUCUGUACUGGCGAGGUGGGCCCUGCAUCCAAAGGGCUGAGGGCCACACUGCUUAGAGGCCCAAGAAGGCAAGAAAUGGACCGGGAAGUCCAUGGUUAGCUACCACGUAAUAGUCCAUUCCUCAGUCUCUGUUGUGUGUGUGUAUAAACCUUCGUAGCUCCAUAAAAUAUAGGUAAGAAAGGAGACUUUUAGGGCCCCAUACGAAAUUCCAUUCACAAACUCACUCAACGCACAAACACACUCUAAGUACCUGCUAUGGACCAGCCACUCAACAGGCUCAGGAUGAGCUGGAUGUUAGCUGACUCUUGAAGUUGAAACAGAUGCAACCAGGUCAUUUCAUGAAAUGGAACUUCACAGUUUUGGUGCGUGAGGUAAUCCGUGGAGCAGACGCUGCUGUGCCCUUCCCCCUGGCUGGCAGAAGUGUGGCACAGGCUGGGUUAAAGUACAGAGCCAGCCAGGGAUUGGGGGGAAGCUGCAUUUCUUCCUGCUGGCCCAGUGAUUGACUUGGAAGUGGGCAUCAGAUCAGGUGUGAUGCUGGCCAGUGAGAUAUGGGGGGGGGGAGCACUUGCUGGGGAGCUAGCCGAUGGAGAAUUUUCCUCCCUCUUUAAAAGGGGCAUAAGGAAAGUCCAUUCCCUUGUUUGUUUUUGGAUGUCGUUACCUGGAACCGCCGCAAUCCUUCUGGACAAGGAAAGAAAUUAGCCUAGAAGGGCAAGCAGCAUACUGGGGUGACAGGGAAGAAAAUCAGGAAACAUCUGGCAUCUUCAUGACAUUGUUGAGCCAUUAAAUUAAUUGACCUUGGUGGCAGUGAGGGUGGGGGCGUGUGUUCGAGGAGAGUGGGGGGCAGGGGGAGCAGGGGAACCCUCAGGAUUUUCUUAUUAAAUGAGAUAAGUAUUUUUCAUAUUUUGACCACUUUUAGUUGGGUUUUCUGUUAUUUGCAGCCCACAUCAUCCUAAUAGAAUGGAUGCGGCUAGAAUCCCACUGGAAUACAUGAGCAGCAGGGAAAAAAGUCUGAUGGAACAUCAGAGGGGGUUACUGAGAGACCGCUCGGGACUUCUGGCACCUCUAAACACUGGAUUACUGUGUCUCCCAUAUCUGUCUGAGGAGUCCCCAGCUGUUACCUUCUUGUCAUCCGCCCCCUUUUUGAGACCCCUGUUUUCUCUUUUCUACCAACUGGCUGGUACGCUCUAUAAUUUCCAGUUCAACUUUCCAAGAAUGAGACCCUGGUUGGCCUCAUUAACUACGCUUUUUCGGAUCCUUGUGGGCCACUGGUCAGUCUGUGAAGUGGCUGUCCUUGAACCAGUGUCCCACCCCUAGUCUAGUUGGCCAGGGAAAGGAGGGGGGACGGCCAGCCCCAACUCCGCCCGAGGCUCAGGUGGUGGGCUGGGCAGGUGCCCUUAGGAGGAAACAGUGCUCUCGGCAACUCCCGAGAUGGACUUGCCAGCACAGCAAGUUCAUGGGGCACAAUGAAAUGGCAGUGCCAAGCCAACCAGGGUCAGAGCAAAGGAAUCCACGCCUACCACAAGCCCCCUCUGCUGUAGAUCUGUUAUAGACCCAAGAGUAAGGGGUGCCUGGCCAGAUGCCUGCCCAGAUCCUAGAUCUGCCCCAAACACAGCCACACUGCUCAAGAAACAUCCCCGCCCCAAGUGCUCCCCCGCAUCCUUCCGCACAGGAAGCAGACACGCUGCUGUGGUCCACAUGACUUUUCCACAUGUCACUUUAUGGCAGCUGUUGUGAGAGUUGUUUUGUUGCCUCCGUCACGGUGGAACCCUUUGCAGCACAGCAGGGUGUCGGGAUGUGUGAGCAGCAGCAGCAAUGAUGGCUCGGGAGCCGAACUGAGGGCACACAGAGGAUUCCCUAACUCGGAGCUGAAAAAAUGCACGUGGGAUGGAGGUUCCUGGAACCCACAUGGGAGAGCGCGACACUGCUUCUGCCGUGUUUACGGCAUUCUGAUAGUAUGUGUGUGGUUCUUUCCUUAAGAGCAAGUUAUCGCACGUGGAAGGGGUGCAACCGGAGGUGCUUCUGUCGCUCAUUAGUUCUGUAUCCUUAGGCGGGUCGCUCAAACUUUCUGAGCCUCCGUGUCUUCAUUGGUGAAACGUGCCCGGUGAUACUUCAACUUGGAGAAUUGCCGUGAUCCUUAUAUACAGUAAGGCCCCCGAGAAAAUGUUAAGCACAGGAUAUUAUAACGUAAUAUUAUAGGGGUCAUUCUAAAAGACCCCUUCCCUGGGGUGGGUGGACUAUCAGAUUAUUUUGAGAGAAUCACAGUCUGAAGCUCCGGAUGGUGCCAUUGACCGGGUGCUGUGGUGUCUGUCACCCAGCUCAACAAAUGAGCUGGGGAUUCCAUGUGGUCAUCACAUCGGAGAUGAGAAAUGCCUAUAAGGUGCCCAGUGGUUGGUGGGACAUUAAGAAGGAGACACUUGGGUGAAUGUGAACCUGCAUAGGAAAUGGAGAGGAAGCCACGGCAGCGUCAGGAGCCGAGCCCCGGUGCGAGUCAUCAUUUGAUGCUACCUCAGGUGUGGAGCAGGACCCAGGCCUGAUACUGGCUGGAACUCUGAGACCCUGGGGAAGGAGCUCCAGUUCACCAGGGAGCAGAGGCCACUGCUAGCAGCCAGGGAAUGGUGCUGAGGCAAGCCGCUCGGCACUGGGACAUGGGCCCGCAGUGGGAAUGGGACUCUCAGGAGUGGGGAGGCAAAGGACCUUUGGGGGAGUGGGAAACAUAUUUAGGAACUUGUGGGACUCGAGUCAGGAAAGGUCUCUUCGAGCCCUGAGAGCACGCACGAGUCCAGUGUAGCUACCUGAGUCUCUAGGAUGAGAGCCGAGCCUGGUCACCACCUUGAUUUUAGCCUUGUGAUAGGCUGAGUGGGAACCAGCCACUCCAUGCUACUUUCAAAACUUGAGUUGCAAGAUAGUAAGAGGUGUUGGUUUAAGGCUCUAAAUUUGUGAUGAGUUCUGUGCAGAUCAGGGAAGUCCAGUGUGUUGCAGGCUUAGGACCUAGAGAUGUGUCCACCUUCAUCCUACGUAUAAUUUAGUGUUUCCCACCUUUGUUUCCCAUUAGCUUAUUUAUAUAUUUUUUAAAAGUCACAACCUGAUCACUAAGAAUCAGGAAGUAUUUGUACCGAAAUGCCAAUAAAAUAUAAGAAAACAUAAGAAAAAUAUAAAGUUUGCAUUCUGCUUCUAUCAGUUGGUGUGGCUUUGGGAAAGUCUCUUAACCUACCUGCAUCUUAGUUUCUCAUCUUUAAAACAAGAAUUAUAAUGUUUAUUUACUGUGUUUGAAUCAGAUUCAAGCCACAUAAUGUAUUCCAAUGUGCUUUAUAAAAUAUGAAGCUGUACAGAGAUGAAAGCCAUUCUUUUUCUGAAGCCAGAACAAACAACAGGAUGUCUGGGGAAGCCAGGUGAGCCAGUGGCAGUGAAAAUCUAGCUAGAAAAUCUAGUCGCCUGAUAGAGAAAAGAAAAGUAAUAAGGAGAGCCCCUAGGAGAAGGAGCUAAGAAGUAGCUACAAGAGCUGUUUCUCCUCAAGAGUGCUUUCAGGAGUUCCCGUCAUGGCGCAGUGGUUAACGAAUCCGACUAGGAACCAUGAG